RNAcentral lists this ribosomal RNA (37 nucleotides) under Magnaporthiopsis poae. Its description in RNAcentral is "partial 28S ribosomal RNA". The record is from RNAcentral. Lineage: Eukaryota; Fungi; Ascomycota; Sordariomycetes; Magnaporthales; Magnaporthaceae.
AAACCCGCGUCCACCAGGACGCCCCUUUCGAGUGACC